This 63-nucleotide transfer RNA is filed under the name Anatis ocellata. Its description in RNAcentral is "tRNA-His". Lineage: Eukaryota; Metazoa; Arthropoda; Insecta; Coleoptera; Coccinellidae. The record is from RNAcentral.
AUUUAAGUAGUUUAUUUAAAAUAUUGAUUUGUGGAAUCAAAGAAAUUUUAUUAAUCUUAAAUA